GGUGAAGAACGCAGCGAAAUGCGAUAAGUAAUGUGAAUUGCAGAAUUCAGUGAAUCAUCGAAUCUUUGAACGCACAUUGCGCCCGCCAGUAUUCUGGCGGGCAUGCCUGUUCGAGCGUCAUUUCAACCAUCAAGCCCCAGGCUUGUGUUGGGGACCUGCGGCUGCCGCAGGCCCUGAAAACCAGUGGCGGGCUCGCUGUCACACCGGGCGUAGUAGAUUUUAUCUCGCUCAGGGCGUGCUGCGGGUUCCGGCCGUUAAAAAGCCUUUUUUACCCAAGGUUGACCUCGGAUCAGGUAGGAAGACCCGCUGAACUUAAGCAUAUCAAUAAGCGGAGGA
This 336-nucleotide unclassified non-coding RNA is filed under the name soil metagenome. RNAcentral describes it as "partial contains 5.8S ribosomal RNA, internal transcribed spacer 2, and large subunit ribosomal RNA". The stretch from base 3 to 120 matches the Rfam family "5.8S ribosomal RNA", at positions 37 to 154 of the family's 154-position model. The record is from RNAcentral.